CAGCAGCCGCGGUAAUGCGUAGGUCCCGAGCGUUGUCCGGAUUUAUUGGGCGUAAAGCGAGCGCAGGCGGAUAGAUAAGUCUGAAGUUAAAGGCUGUGGCUUAACCAUAGUACGCUUUGGAAACUGUUUAACUUGAGUGCAAGAGGGGAGAGUGGAAUUCCAUGUGUAGCGGUGAAAUGCGUAGAUAUAUGGAGGAACACCGGUGGCGAAAGCGGCUCUCUGGCUUGUAACUGACGCUGAGGCUCGAAAGCGUGGGGAGCAAACAGGAUUAGAUACCCCAGUAGUCCCUGUCUCUUAUACA
This 301-nucleotide ribosomal RNA is filed under the name uncultured bacterium. RNAcentral's name for it is "partial 16S ribosomal RNA". It matches the Rfam family "Bacterial small subunit ribosomal RNA", at positions 509 to 808 of the family's 1533-position model. The record is from RNAcentral.